Molecule: non-coding RNA, 1492 nt
Organism: Heterocephalus glaber (naked mole-rat)
Lineage: Eukaryota; Metazoa; Chordata; Mammalia; Rodentia; Bathyergidae
Source: RefSeq, a predicted model, not a curated record
AACCCUUGUAAGUAUGGAUUUUUCCAGGUUGAGCACUUGCGUGGAAAGAGGACGCUCGCUCAUAGGAGAUAACCAUUGUGCAGUAUAUCUACAGGGCCCGGGCCUCCCUCAGCCAGCAAGUCUAGCUCACUAACUCAGGUUCUUUCCAUUGCCUUUUUUUGGGUACUGGGGAUAGAACUCAGGACGUUGCGUUUUGGAGGCAGGCAUGGUGUCACUCAGCCAAAGCCCCGGCCCUCCACUGACUUUUUGAUUUUCUAUAGAAAACAGAAACAAGCGAGGGACUCUUGGAAUUUGAAAUGAGAAAAUUAUUUGAUAUUUUAUAAAGCUAAGUCUUCUGUGUGUGCGUUUUGUUUUUUUUUUUAAUGGAUCAGACAACAAGAAGUAAGCUAGUAACCACGAGCUUCUUGAUUGAGGAGGGAAAGUUAACCUGGGGGAGAAGGGAAAUGAAGGGACUAUGAUAUUUUAUCCUCUGGAGUCAGAGUUAAUUUGCUUGGGUUAAGAAGUCUGAACCCAGAAAACAUCUUUCUUACUGUCCCUAUAUUUUAGGACCAUAUUCCUAUAAUUUGGAUUCUAGACUCAUUUUGAAUUAUUCAGUUUUUAGUUAUCUCAUGUUUUAGUCACUUUCUUGAUGCAGAGACACAGUACCCAACACGCACAACUUCAAAGAGGAGAGGUUUAUUUUGGUUCAUGUUUUCAGUCCGUCGUUGGCUGGCUCCAAGCCAGGAAGGGUAUGGUGGAAAGCUCUACUUGAGGAAAGCGGCUCAACUCCCACUCGCAGGAAGCAGGCAAGGGAGGAGCUGGGAAGGGAGGAGCUGGGAAGAAAGACCUUCCCUCCAGGCCCCGCCCCAGUGACCGGCCUCUUCCCGCCAGGCCCCACCUCCCGCCAGCACAAGGGGCUGCUGAACUCAACAGUGACUGAAUCCCGUGGGGUCAACACCCUUCUGGUUCUAUCACCUUUCAAAGCCCCGUCUCUGAGCUCUGAAACUUUGGGGAACAUUCUUGAGUUAAGCUGUAACACUUUAGCUUUUAGUAAGGAUUUGGAAAUAACAUCUUAGUAAAGUUAGCAAGAAGAUCCACAGAAAGAGACUUGAGUUCAUGCUUGAGAAAACAGAAAUGGGCAAGCCACAGAAGGGAUCUGGGACCGGGCGGUGACAAGUUGGAUGACGCCAUCCACCUGUGCAGCCGUGGCUCCUUUCUGAAGAGCCUCCAAACCGAACUGUUCUCCAACUUGGAGGAGUGUAUUUCUGUUUUCUUUUUAAUCAGGAAAGCUUAAUGCACAGCUGGCUUACAGUCUUUCGAGGCGCAUUGGAGGCCAAGAAAGCUAUGAAGUGAACAUGUUUUAUGUGGAGAGAAGACGGUGCGGGUGGGAGAAGAUAUUGAUGCUGACACCCAGCAGUAUUCCUCUAGUGAAUAUGCUACUUUGGGCUGGGUCCUUCACAUGGUAGAACAGAAACAACUACUCAGCAGAGGAAAAUGGAAGCUCAGAGGAGUU